This 295-nucleotide ribosomal RNA is filed under the name uncultured Clostridium sp. Its description in RNAcentral is "partial 16S ribosomal RNA". It matches the Rfam family "Bacterial small subunit ribosomal RNA", at positions 28 to 334 of the family's 1533-position model. The record is from RNAcentral. Lineage: Bacteria; Bacillati; Bacillota; Clostridia; Eubacteriales; Clostridiaceae.
GAUGAACGCUGGCGGCGUGCCUAACACAUGCAAGUCGAGCGAUCUCUUCGGAGAGAGCGGCGGACGGGUGAGUAACGCGUGGGUAACCUGCCCUGUACACACGGAUAACAUACCGAAAGGUAUGCUAAUACGGGAUAAUGUAUAAGAGUCGCAUGACUUUUAUAUCAAAGAUUUUUCGGUACAGGAUGGACCCGCGUCUGAUUAGCUUGUUGGCGGGGUAACGGCCCACCAAGGCGACGAUCAGUAGCCGACCUGAGAGGGUGAUCGGCCACAUUGGAACUGAGACACGGUCCAA